Molecule: ribosomal RNA, 330 nt
Filed under: uncultured Anaerolineaceae bacterium
Lineage: Bacteria; Bacillati; Chloroflexota; Anaerolineae; Anaerolineales; Anaerolineaceae
Description: bacterial SSU rRNA
Rfam family: Bacterial small subunit ribosomal RNA
Source: RNAcentral
AGUGGCUGUCGUCAGCUCGUGUCGUGAGAUUGGUUACGGUUAACGUCCGACUAACGGGCGCAACCCUCGCUGUAUGUUACAUGUGUCAUACAGGACCGCCGGUAUCAAGCCGGAGGAAGGUGGGGAUGACGUCAAGUCCGCAUGGCCUUUAUGUCCGGGGCUACACACACGCUACAAUGGUCGGUACAAUGGGUUGCUAAGCCGCGAGGUGGAGCCAAUCCCCCAAAGCCGGCCUCAGUUCAGAUUGCAGGCUGCAACUCGCCUGCAUGAAGCUGGAGUUGCUAGUAAACGCGCGUCAGCUAUAGUGCGUUGAAUACGUUCUCGGGCCUU